UAAAAAGUCCUUUAAAC
RNAcentral lists this transfer RNA (17 nucleotides) under Scinax quinquefasciatus (Fowler's snouted treefrog). RNAcentral describes it as "partial tRNA-Phe". The record is from RNAcentral. Lineage: Eukaryota; Metazoa; Chordata; Amphibia; Anura; Hylidae.